This 308-nucleotide unclassified non-coding RNA is filed under the name plant metagenome. RNAcentral describes it as "partial contains 5.8S ribosomal RNA, internal transcribed spacer 2, and large subunit ribosomal RNA". The stretch from base 1 to 105 matches the Rfam family "5.8S ribosomal RNA", at positions 50 to 154 of the family's 154-position model. The record is from RNAcentral.
GAAAUGCGAUAAGUAAUGUGAAUUGCAGAAUUCAGUGAAUCAUCGAAUCUUUGAACGCACAUUGCGCCCCUUGGUAUUCCGGGGGACAUGCCUGUUCGAGCGUCAUUACAACCCUCAAGCUCUGCUUGGAAUUGGGCACCGUCCUCACUGCGGACGCGCCUCAAAGACCUCGGCGGUGGCUGUUCAGCCCUCAAGCGUAGUAGAAUACACCUCGCUUUGGAGCGGUUGGCGUCGCCCGCCGGACGAACCUUCUGAACUUUUCUCAAGGUUGACCUCGGAUCAGGUAGGGAUACCCGCUGAACUUAAGC